GUCGAGCGGACGGAUGGGAGCUUGGUCCCUGAAAUCAUCGGCGGACAGGUGAGUAACACAUGGGCAACCUGUCUGUAAAACUGGGAUAACUUCCGGAAACCGGAGCUAAUACCGGAUAACACCUAUUACCUCACGGGCUUUGAUUGAAAAAUGGGUUUUGCUAUCUCUUUCAGAUGGGCCCCCGCCGCACUAUCUAUUUGGUGAGGUAACGGCUCUCCAAGGCGACAAUGCGUAGCCCACCUGAGAGGGGGAUCGGCCACACUGGGACUGAGACACGGCCCACACUCUUACGGGGGGGGGCAGUAGGGAAUCUUCCCCAAUGUACAAAAAUCUGACAGAGCAACGCCCCGCGAGCGAUAAAAGCGUUCUGGUCUCAAAAAUCUGUUUUUAGGGAAAAAAACAUACCCUUCAAAAAGGGCGGUACCUUUACGGUACCCAACCACAAAGCCCCGGCUAACUACGUGCCCCCACCCCCGGUAAUACCUAGGUGGGAAACGUUUUCCCGAAUUUUUGGGCGUAAAGCGCGCGCAGGCGGUUCCUUUAAUCUGAUGUGAAAGCCCCCGGCUCAACCCUGGAGGGUCAUUGGGAACUGGGGAACUUUAGUGCGGAAAAGGAAAGCGGAAUUCCACAUGUAUCGGUGAAAUGCGUAUAGAUAUGGAGGAACAC
RNAcentral lists this ribosomal RNA (666 nucleotides) under Bacillus methanolicus. RNAcentral describes it as "partial 16S ribosomal RNA". It matches the Rfam family "Bacterial small subunit ribosomal RNA", at positions 61 to 709 of the family's 1533-position model. Lineage: Bacteria; Bacillati; Bacillota; Bacilli; Caryophanales; Bacillaceae. The record is from RNAcentral.